GAUUAACACAAAGGCAAAGAGAAAAGGCACCAACAGAUGUUCUCCAGGCCUUUUAGAACACAUGGAGUUGUUCCUUCGGCCACAUACAUGGAAACCUACAAGAAAGGUGAUAUUGUAGCCAGGUGCGAAGGUUGAUAUUUUAGACAUCAAUGGAAUGGGGACUGUUUAAAAGGGAAUACCUUACACAAAAAAACUAAUGCCCUACAAAUCUUACUAUGGCAAAACUGGAAGAGUCUACAAUGUUACCCAGCAUUCUGUUGGCAUUGUUGUAAACAAAAAAAAAAAAAGGAAACUAAAUAAGAAAGGUACCUGGGUUCAAUUGAAGCACCAGCCUACUCCACCAGUGGAAAACAGCCUGAGCUACUAGAACUUAUUCCCUAUGAAUUCGUGGCAUAA
This 396-nucleotide long non-coding RNA is filed under the name Homo sapiens (human). RNAcentral's name for it is "non-protein coding lnc-GPR19-2:1". Lineage: Eukaryota; Metazoa; Chordata; Mammalia; Primates; Hominidae. The record is from RNAcentral.